UAGGGAAUCUUCCACAAUGGACGAAAGUCUGAUGGAGCAACGCCGCGUGAGUGAAGAAGGGUUUCGGCUCGUAAAACUCUGUUGUUAAAGAAGAACAUAUCUGAGAGUAACUGUUCAGGUAUUGACGGUAUUUAGCCAGAAAGCCACGGCUAACUGCGUGCCAG
RNAcentral lists this ribosomal RNA (164 nucleotides) under uncultured bacterium. RNAcentral's name for it is "partial 16S ribosomal RNA". It matches the Rfam family "Bacterial small subunit ribosomal RNA", at positions 355 to 511 of the family's 1533-position model. The record is from RNAcentral.